This 253-nucleotide ribosomal RNA is filed under the name uncultured bacterium. RNAcentral describes it as "partial 16S ribosomal RNA". It matches the Rfam family "Bacterial small subunit ribosomal RNA", at positions 524 to 776 of the family's 1533-position model. The record is from RNAcentral.
UACGUAGGGUGCGAGCGUUGUCCGGAAUUAUUGGGCGUAAAGAGCUUGUAGGCGGUCUGUCGCGUCUGCUGUGAAAAUCCGGGGCUCAACCCCGGACUUGCAGUGGGUACGGGCAGACUAGAGUGUGGUAGGGGAGACUGGAAUUCCUGGUGUAGCGGUGAAAUGCGCAGAUAUCAGGAGGAACACCGAUGGCGAAGGCAGGUCUCUGGGCCACUACUGACACUGAGGAGCGAAAGCGUGGGUAGCAAACAGG